Molecule: non-coding RNA, 27 nt
Filed under: Rattus norvegicus (Norway rat)
Lineage: Eukaryota; Metazoa; Chordata; Mammalia; Rodentia; Muridae
Source: RNAcentral
UCCAAAGGACCUGGGUUCAAUUCCUAA